GCGCACGCCCAUUGUGCGACGCCGCACCUACUACACCGUGAAUUUGGAUGACCUUGCGCCGUAGACAGACGUAUGUCAUCGGCGGUUGUCAGAAUAGACAGCGAAAGAAGAACUUAAGAAAAAGAUAACAUUGUACCACGAACUAUAAGUGAAGCCAACGUGAAUUCCUAAACUAAAAUAAUUUUGUAUAUUCUAAUUAAAAUACUGCAUAUUUGAUUCCUUUGUUUACUAAUCCUAAACAAGUAGGUAUAAGAUAAGUUUCCAUGCAUAUUUUCUCUAUCUUAAUAACUUCAAUUCUUAACUAGGUUGAUUGCAGUGAAUGAAGGUUAGAGUUGAAUGAUUCUGCAAUAAUCAGAAGUAUCGAUAUAAUGUAGGUAAUUCUACUGUCUAUGUUACCCGCAAUCAUAAUUAUAAUUACUUGCCUACACAGAUAAGUGUCCAGUAUUGCAUCGGUAUUCUGCCAAUAAUCCGGGAACAAGAUACGGUCAAGUAGAUGUAGCUGAACUCACGAAACGUAGGUUAGCCCUAAAAACAAUCCAACAUGAAUUACCCUGAUUAUUAUUGUGCCAUUGUAGGAAAUUUUUAACCGUUGCUGUGGAAUAAACGCGUUCAAAAAACCGGAUCAAAUUCGCUCUUGUUACUUCCGUAACAAAUUUAAAAAUUUCGUUUCCGGAUUAUUGAGGAGUAACUGCAUCAUGCCACCACUCGCCCCGCCUCCAGACCGCAGCUGCUCGAUGUGUCAGUCGGAAGACAACAGCCGGAUGGUCUGUUGUGAUCAGUGUAGUAACUGGUUUCAUUUCGACUGUGUCGGGGUGACAGAAGACACUGCCAAUCACCCAUGGAUUUGCCCGAGCUGCGCCAGAGCGAAUAUGAUAAACCCCACAGUUGGCUCGACAUCCAUGCCAGUGCCAACCAGCGAACCGUCAACAGCAAAAGUACCUGCACCACCAGCGCCUCCACUAGCGACAGCUCUGCCACCUCCUCCCACACGCCCUGUCCAGCUGUCAGUUGACCUGCAGCUGAAAAUGCUCGAGGAAGAACGAGCGCUAGAGCGAAAAUACCUGCAGCGUAAAUAUCAGUUGAUGAUGGAAGCAUCAGGAACAGCAAGUAAUCCACUACCAACCUCCCAUUCAAUGCCCGAUGAUAGUUUUCGUAUGCCACCAUGUCACUCAUCUCCGUUACGGCCAGCUCCACCAACCGCUCCUGAGCUCCACCUCCUUGAAGGCAUAGGAGGGGCAAACGAGACAGCAAUGCUUAACUCCAGCCAAAUUGCAGCUCGUCACGCGGUGGCUAAAGAGCUACCCAUCUACAGCGGCGAACCAGAAGAGUGGCCCCUAUUUAUCGCCACGUACGAAAACACCACUAGGCUAUGCGGAUAUACCCCGGAGGAAAAUAUGGUUCGAUUACAACGUUGCCUACGUGGAAAAGCACUGGAUGCAGUAAGAUGCCAGCUACUGCACCCCGCAAAUUUGGAACACGCGCUCUCUACAUUAAAAAUGCUUUUUGGGCGUCCUGAGAUUAUAGUCCACAGCCUUAUCGAGAAAAUUAACAAAAUCCCGGCACCGAAAGCAGACAGACUCAGUACACUUGUCGAUUUUGCUCUAGCUGUACGGAAUAUGGUUGCUACUGUGCAAGCCUGCAACUUGGAGGAGCAUCUUUAUAACAUUACCCUCCUUCACGGCCUAGUUGAACGACUGCCUACAAUGGUGAAACUAAACUGGGCCACACACCGUGUACGGCUUCCGAGGGUGUCACUAUUGGAGUUUAGCGACUGGCUGUACACUGUGGCAGAAGCAGCCAGUACCGUGACAAUGUCGUCGACGUCACUACCUGCGUACGAAGCAAAACCUCGUAGAAGCGGAAACAGAGAAGAUGGAUUUAUAAGUGUUCACUCCGAACCUCAACCUCAACAAGGGCCCACCUGGACAUAUCAAGCGAAAGAAGGUUGCGUAGUUUGCCAAAAUUCGUGCAGCACUGUGGAAAAUUGCCCUGAAUUUCUGAAUUUGAACCACCCCGACCGUUGGGCAGCAUUACGAGUCCACAAAUUAUGCAGAACUUGCCUAGGAACUCACCGUGGACCGUGUAGAUCAAACGAUAUCUGCGGCAAGAAUGGCUGCACCUUCAAACACCACCGCCUGCUUCACAAUGAACGCGCAGGCACGUACACGGCUGCCAGAGUAUCAGCCGAACCCGAGCAAGGCGAAAGCUCCUCAAACAACGUCAAUUUAAAUCAGCUCAACUGUAACACACACCGAUGGAACGAAAAGUCGGUACUGUUUCAGUACGUCCCAGUAGUGCUGCAUCACAAUGGGAACACUGUGCACACUUACGCAUUCGUUGAUUGUGGAUCGCAUAUCACACUGCUGGAAGAUGAGUUGGCAGCUGAUCUGAACCUUCGUGGUGAAAAGCACCCUUUGUGCAUCCGAUGGACCGCCGAUCAUUGCCGCUUCGAAGAUUCGGCUGAACGAGUUUCACUCCAUGUAUCCGGAACUGAAAACGAGGACAAUAAAUUCCUGCUAUCAGAAGUGUUCACCGUGAAAGAUCUGAAGUUGCCAGCUCAAACGCUCUCCGUGUCCAAGCUUUGCAGAAAAUACGGUUAUCUGAAAGGCUUACCUGUACAGUCUUAUAACAACAUUCGCCCACGUUUGCUCAUCGGAAUGAACAACAUUCGACUCGGUCACGCUCUGGAUAGUCGAGAAGGCGGCGAAAAUGGACCCAUCGCCACAAAAACUCGACUGGGGUGGACAAUCUUCGGAACCUGCCUGGAUGAUCAUCCCAAGCCGUCUACAGUCCCCUACAGCUUCCACAUUUGCUCCCACUCUACCAAAGCUGACGAAAAUCUCCACGCCGCAGUUAAGAACUACUUUGCCCUUGAUAGCAUAGGCAUCACCGCAUCAAGGAAGGAGCUGUUAUCAGUUGACGAUGAACGAGCUCUUAAGAUUCUACAAUCCAACACGCGUCUAGAAAAUGGGAGAUACACGACGAGCCUCCUGUGGAAGUAUGAUGAUGUACGUCUACCCAACAAUAAAUCGAUGGCCCUCCGACGUCACAACUGCCUUGUGAAAAGGAUGAAACGCGAACCGACUUUGGGCGAAACCUUGAAGAACAAAAUAGCCGACUACAUUCGAAAGGGCUAUAUUCGCAAGCUAUCACAUCAGGAAAUGCAUCAACCUGGUAAUCGCAUUUGGUACCUACCCAUUUUCCCUGUCUUCAACGAAAACAAACCAGGCAAAGUAAGAAUUGUGUGGGACGCGGCCGCAGCUGUUAGUGGGACAUCACUCAACUCCGUCCUUUUAAAAGGCCCGGAUCGUUUGGAGCCUCUUUCGUUCGUCCUAUACAAAUUUCGGGAGCGUCGGAUCGCUAUAUGUGGAGACAUCGAAGAAAUGUUCCAUCAGGUCAGGAUGAAUGAGGAAGACCAACAAAGCCAACGAUUCUUCUUCCAAGACAAAAUGGAUACGAGUGAACCUGACGAAUACGUGAUGACUGUCAUGACGUUUGGGGCUACAUGCUCGCCGAGCUCCGCCAACUUCGUCAUCAACCAAAAUGCAGAACGUUUUGCAGGACAGCUACCAGAAGCAGCCAGUGCGAUUCGGAAGAGCCAUUAUGUGGAUGACAUGUUGGCUAGUGUCGACACCGAAUCCGAAGCCAUUCAGCUAGCGGAAGACGUCCGGUUCAUCCAUCAGCAAGGCGGAUUCAAAAUGAGAGGAUGGAUCUCAAAUUCCCCAACGGUUAGGACAGCACUCAACAGUGAAAACAUCCCAGGCAAGAGCUUGGACCUUAACAAGGAGAUCGCCCUGGAGAAGGUGUUGGGAAUGUGGUGGAACACCGACACCGACGAAUUUCAGUUCAAACUAUCGAAAGAGCGAUAUGCAGACCUGCUGACCGGCGUUAAGCACCCAACAAAGCGGGAGCUACUCAGCAUGCUCAUGUCCGUUUACGAUCCACUAGGUCUGAUUGCAAACUUCCUCAUGCCUCUGAAACUCUUGCUACAGGAGAUAUGGCGGUCAGGUGUAUCCUGGGACGAACCGAUAGAGUUUCGUCAUAUGCAAAAAUGGAGAGCAUGGUUGAAAUAUCUCCCCCAAGCAAGCUCCGUUCGAAUCCCACGAUGCUACACAAAGGGGCGCUCAUACGAGAAACUGAGCAUCGAGCUGCAUACAUUUGUGGAUGCUAGCGAACUCGGAUACUGCGCUGUGUCGUACCUACGAUUUGAGCAAGCUGAACAAAUCGAUUGCGUUUUGGUGGGCGCCAAAACCAGGGUGGCUCCCCUGAAAUUUGUUUCAAUACCGCGUCUGGAACUCCAGGCGGCUGUAGUUGGAACCCGACUUGCCAAAAGCAUCCAAGAAGGACAUUCAAUUGGAAUAACGCAACGCUACUUCUGGACAGACGCUGCUGAUGUUUUGUGCUGGUUGCGUUCAGACCACCGGACAUACUCACAGUUCGUGGCCUUUAGGAUAACCGAUAUUCUGGAGUCCAGCGAUAUUACGGAAUGGAAAUAUGUACCCACCAAGGAAAACGUUGCGGACGAAGGCACGAAGAUUCAGCGACAAAUAGAAUUUGAUGCUGACAGUCGAUGGAGAAGGGGACCACCGUUCCUCUGGGGACCAAGAAACAACUGGCCAUUGGAACCGUUGCCAAAGAAGAUGACCACACUAGAAAUUCGACCGAGCAUGCUCCAUCACGCAGUAGCUCCGGUUCUUGAUUGUCUACAAGCCGACAAAUUUUCCAGUUGGCAUCGUUUGCGACGGAUUACUGCCCUAGUAGCUAGAUUCCCGUCGAACAUAAGACAAAGAAUUGCAGGAGGGUCACCGGUGGCUGGUCCUUUGACGAGUACAGAACUUCUACAAGCUGAAGUUUUUCACUACAAACGUGCGCAAAAUGAUGUCUACUCCGAUGAAAUUACCCUUUUGACUGCGGGGUCAGGUAAGUCCACCCUUCCAAAGGGGAAUCGACUUUAUAAGCUCACUCCAAUCAUCGACGAUGACGGAGUGCUUCGCAUUCACGGUCGCAUCGAUGCAUGUGACUAUGUUGGGAAAAACACUAAAUAUCCAAUUGUGCUACCAAGAGGACAUGCACUUACAAGGCUGGUUCUCCAAAGCAUUCAUGAGAAGUAUCACCAUCUGUGCUAUGAGACGUUUGUAAAUGAAACCCGCAAAAAGUUCUAUAUCCCUAAACUCCGCAUCGAAUGCAAAAGAAUCCAAUCGAGCUGUCAACGUUGCAAGGUCCGUAAGGCUCAACCAGCACCGCCUGCGAUGGGUAAUCUUCCAAAAGCGCGACUAGCUGCCUAUGUUCGCCCAUUUUCUUAUAUAGGAGUGGACUAUUUUGGGCCCUUCAAUGUAGCAGUUGGUCGUCGAGUAGAAAAACGCUGGGGGGUCCUAGUGACCUGCCUUACCGUGCGUGCCAUACAUAUAGAAUUAGCCCACACCCUUAACACAGAUUCGUGUAUAAUGGCAUUGCGCAAUUGUUUCGCACGUCGAGGAGUACCGAUCCAGAUUAUUAGUGACCGUGGUACCAAUUUCAUCGGGGCUGAGAAAGAACUUAAAAACGCUCUGCAAUCAAUUGACCAGGACGCAAUGAUCAGGGAGUUCACUACCUCUUCAACUUCGUGGGUAUUCAACCCUCCAGCCACUCCCCACAUGGGAGGCUCAUGGGAGAGGUUGAUACAAUCCGUGAAAAAAAUACUUUAUGAAAUGCAGCCAAAUCGUCUACCAAAAGAAGAGGUGCUGAGAAACUGCCUUAUCGAAGUGGAAAACGUAGUGAACAGCAGGCCGCUGACGCAUGUACCGAUAGAGGACGAAUCUUCACCCGCGCUGACACCUAAUCAUUUUCUGGUGGGAUCGUCGAAUGGUCUUAAGCCUUUGGUACCGUUUGACGACCGUUCUACAUCUCUAAAGCAGUCCCACAAAACUUCGCAAAUUCUUGCGAACUUCUUUUGGAAACGUUGGGUGGACGAAUACCUCCCAAACAUCACUCGACGUACAAAGUGGUUUGCCCCAGUAAAACCAAUUGCUGUGGGCGAUAUAGUUGUUAUCGUGGACCCCAAGCAACCCAGAAACUGUUGGCCAAAAGGUAAGGUGUUAGCUACGAAUCUUUCGAAGGAUGGCCAAGUUCGUCAAGCUUCAGUACAAACAUCUGGAGGGAUUUUUCAAAGAUCUGCAGUCAACCUCGCUGUACUGGACGUAGGUGCAAAUACGAGCGGAUCGGACCAGGGUCCAACCACUGGGGGGGGCUGUUGCGCACGCCCAUUGUGCGACGCCGCACCUACUACACCGUGAAUUUGGAUGACCUUGCGCCGUAGACAGACGUAUGUCAUCGGCGGUUGUCAGAAUAGACAGCGAAAGAAGAACUUAAGAAAAAGAUAACAUUGUACCACGAACUAUAAGUGAAGCCAACGUGAAUUCCUAAACUAAAAUAAUUUUGUAUAUUCUAAUUAAAAUACUGCAUAUUUGAUUCCUUUGUUUACUAAUCCUAAACAAGUAGGUAUAAGAUAAGUUUCCAUGCAUAUUUUCUCUAUCUUAAUAACUUCAAUUCUUAACUAGGUUGAUUGCAGUGAAUGAAGGUUAGAGUUGAAUGAUUCUGCAAUAAUCAGAAGUAUCGAUAUAAUGUAGGUAAUUCUACUGUCUAUGUUACCCGCAAUCAUAAUUAUAAUUACUUGCCUACACAGAUAAGUGUCCAGUAUUGCAUCGGUAUUCUGCCAAUAAUCCGGGAACAAGAUACGGUCAAGUAGAUGUAGCUGAACUCACGAAACGUAGGAAAUUUUUAACCGUUGCUGUGGAAUAAACGCGUUCAAAAAACCGGAUCAAAUUCGCUCUUGUUACUUCCGUAACAAUUACAUU
RNA transcript from Aedes albopictus (Asian tiger mosquito), 6833 nucleotides. RefSeq lists it as uncharacterized. The transcript is spliced from 2 exons. Lineage: Eukaryota; Metazoa; Arthropoda; Insecta; Diptera; Culicidae. The record is from RefSeq and is a predicted model, not a curated record.